UAAGAAGAACGGCUGUAAUAAUUUGAACGGUUCGGACCAUAAGGGGAAGGAGUUUCACCACUGGAAUUAGAAAUUAGUAACAGGGACCUACGACUCGUUAUGCAGAAAGAGAGAGGGAACAUAAAUGAUUUAAAGAAAAGCUCAGGCAGAUACAUGGGGAACAUAGAGAUGAGCAUCAGUUGUAACUUCACAGAGAAAAGGGAAGACACGCUGAUCAGUAAUCAAGUUGCAACAUAACUAAGAAGCCAACAUGGAAUGGAAAACAGACUUAUCCCACGGCAAGGUAACUCCGUACUUAUCAUUCACAGCUGCAAGAAAAGUAGGAAAGUCUAGAUUAAGCUAUUAGGUUGAAGAACCCUGCCUUAAGUUUA
Brassica oleracea var. oleracea is the source of this 371-nucleotide long non-coding RNA. RefSeq lists it as uncharacterized. Lineage: Eukaryota; Viridiplantae; Streptophyta; Magnoliopsida; Brassicales; Brassicaceae. The transcript has 3 exons. The record is from RefSeq and is a predicted model, not a curated record.